UAGGGAAUCUUCGGCAAUGGACGAAAGUCUGACCGAGCAACGCCGCGUGAGUGAAGAAGGUUUUCGGAUCGUAAAACUCUGUUGUUAGAGAAGAACAAGGACGUUAGUAACUGAACGUCCCCUGACGGUAUCUAACCAGAAAGCCACGGCUAACUACGUGCCAGCAGCCGCGGUAAUACGUAGGUGGCAAGCGUUGUCCGGAUUUAUUGGGCGUAAAGCGAGCGCAGGCGGUUUCUUAAGUCUGAUGUGAAAGCCCCCGGCUCAACCGGGGAGGGUCAUUGGAAACUGGGGGACUUGGGUGCAGAAGAGGAGAGUGGAAUUCCAUGUGUAGCGGUGAAAUGCGUAGAUAUAUGGAGGAACACCAGUGGCGAAGGCGGCUCUCUGGUCUGUAACUGACGCUGAGGCUCGAAAGCGUGGGGAGCAAACAGG
RNAcentral lists this ribosomal RNA (429 nucleotides) under Gemmatimonadota bacterium. RNAcentral describes it as "Gemmatimonadetes bacterium partial 16S ribosomal RNA". It matches the Rfam family "Bacterial small subunit ribosomal RNA", at positions 355 to 776 of the family's 1533-position model. The record is from RNAcentral. Lineage: Bacteria; Pseudomonadati; Gemmatimonadota.